Molecule: ribosomal RNA, 375 nt
Filed under: uncultured Bacteroidales bacterium
Lineage: Bacteria; Pseudomonadati; Bacteroidota; Bacteroidia; Bacteroidales
Description: bacterial SSU rRNA
Rfam family: Bacterial small subunit ribosomal RNA
Source: RNAcentral
CUACAGGCUUAACACAUGCAAGUCGAGGGGUAGCAGGGUAGCAAUACCGCUGACGACCGGCGCACGGGUGAGUAACACGUAUCCAGCCUUCCCAUGACUCAGGGAUAGCCUUUCGAAAGAAAGAUUAAUACCUGAUAGUACUUUUUUAAGGCAUCUUGAAAAAGUUAAAGAUUUAUCGGUUAUGGAUGGGGAUGCGUUCCAUUAGAUUGUUGGUGAGGUAACGGCUCACCAAGUCUUCGAUGGAUAGGGGUUCUGAGAGGAAGGUCCCCCACAUUGGUACUGAGACACGGACCAAACUCCUACGGGAGGCAGCAGUGAGGAAUAUUGGUCAAUGGGCGAGAGCCUGAACCAGCCAAGUAGCGUGAAGGAUGACGG